CAUUAAUUAUGAAAGACCAAGCGUAGAUUAUAUCACAAGUGUCUAAAACCCUAACCUCAGACCAAAGCUCUUCUCAUGCUUUUUAAUGGCCCAUAAAGCAGCUGGG
This 106-nucleotide small nucleolar RNA is filed under the name Drosophila ananassae. RNAcentral describes it as "snoRNA:GF26177". The record is from RNAcentral. Lineage: Eukaryota; Metazoa; Arthropoda; Insecta; Diptera; Drosophilidae.